UACGGAGGGGGCUAGCGUUGUUCGGAAUUACUGGGCGUAAAGCGCACGUAGGCGGUUUUGUAAGUUAGAGGUGAAAGCCUGGGGCUCAACUCCAGAAUAGCCUUUAAGACUGCAUCACUUGAACACGGGAGAGGUGGGUGGAAUUCCGAGUGUAGAGGUGAAAUUCGUAGAUAUUCGGAAGAACACCAGUGGCGAAGGCGGCUCACUGGACCGUUGUUGACGCUGAGGUGCGAAAGCGUGGGGAGCAAACAGG
Molecule: ribosomal RNA, 253 nt
Filed under: uncultured bacterium
Lineage: Bacteria
Description: partial 16S ribosomal RNA
Rfam family: Bacterial small subunit ribosomal RNA
Source: RNAcentral